GGGGUGAUAUAUCAGUUGGGAGAUAGCACGACUGAAGAUCGUGAGGUCAUCGGUUCGAUCCCGAUUCAUCCCA
RNAcentral lists this transfer RNA (73 nucleotides) under Talaromyces marneffei ATCC 18224. RNAcentral's name for it is "tRNA-Phe (GAA) (tRNA-Phe-GAA-1 1 to 3)". It matches the Rfam family "tRNA". Rfam says of the family: Transfer RNA (tRNA) molecules are approximately 80 nucleotides in length. Their secondary structure includes four short double-helical elements and three loops (D, anti-codon, and T loops). Lineage: Eukaryota; Fungi; Ascomycota; Eurotiomycetes; Eurotiales; Trichocomaceae. The record is from RNAcentral.